UCGAGAAAUUGAAGAGAAAUAUAUGAGUAAUUCUUACAUGAAACAAAACAUUAAUUAAAUGAAAUCCCAAACUAACACUAAAUUUUUUAUUAUUUAUUCUAAAUCCAUGAUAUGUACAUUAUAUAUAUACAUAUAGACAUCAUAUAUACAUAUAUAUAUAUAUAUAUAUAUAACACUCUAUUAAAGAAUGAAAGCAAGCAGGUGCUGUGAAUCUAACGCAGCAAAUUGUCCAAUUUGACCUAUUGACUAUCGAUAAUUUCCCUUGAAGCUAUGUGUCCAUCAGUCGAAACCCGAAGCCACUCAUCUAAGCGGUGCUCCAUAUGCUCAAAAGAAAGCCUGCAAUUGCAGCCUGUCGAAUUCUCUGUUUUCUCAACUUCCUGUACUACAUGUUUUCCAGAGAUGACGUGCCUCACGUUGCUUCUUCCAUGUGGGUGAAGAGGAUUGUUUCGAUGGGUACCGAAUGGACAACCAACCCAUAUGAUCCAAGUCUUGCUUCCAACUGAUGGGUCUUUCUGUGGUCUCUCCUAGAACCUUCUUUGUUCGGUGCACCACUUGUCGACAAAUAAUUGGAAGCUUUCACUGAGAAGAGAAACAAACACAGUGCACUUUUCAUCCUUUCAUUUUCAAGAACAAAAAAAUCUACACAGCUCUAAUUUGGUGCAGGGUUUUGGCAUUUUUAUUUGUAAGUGCUUUUUUAUAUUCCAUAUAUUUUUUAAAUUUCAUGUUGUAUAUUAGAAAGAUUCUUUUGUGACCCAGAAAUUAAUUGGUAAUUGAAAUGUUUAGGGGUUAGGACUUAUAGUUCCAAGUAUAUGAACAUAGCAGUGGCGAGAGUUCUUAGGACGAACUUAAGAAUGCAUCACAAGUUAGGAAUACUGUUUCUUCAUUACAUUUCUUUACAAUUAAACGUGUGUUCUAUGCGGUUUGUGGCAACCAUUUUCAUUCAUGUUAUAUCCACACUUCGAAGUAACAUUACUGAUAACAUUAUCCAAUAUUUGAUUGCAUAUUUCAUGUUUGAUGAAAGCUAUAUGAUUUUUCUUCAUUUUCAUACUUGCUUUUUAAUUGAAAUAUUUUGUAAAAUCCAAGCUAAAUAUGCAUGGGCAGAGUUUAUAUGGUACUAAUGUUUUUAGGAACAUCAAUAUUAAAUUUUUUGGAACUUUAAUAUUGUAUAUAAUCUUCUAUUCCACAAAGAUCCAUAACCAAAAAAAAAACAAA
This is a long non-coding RNA of Camellia sinensis, 1212 nucleotides long. RefSeq lists it as uncharacterized. Lineage: Eukaryota; Viridiplantae; Streptophyta; Magnoliopsida; Ericales; Theaceae. The record is from RefSeq and is a predicted model, not a curated record.